GACGAACGCUGGCGGCGUGCCUAAUACAUGCAAGUUGAGCGCUGAAGGUUGGUACUUGUACCGACUGGAUGAGCAGCGAACGGGUGAGUAACGCGUGGGGAAUCUGCCUUUGAGCGGGGGACAACAUUUGGAAACGAAUGCUAAUACCGCAUAAAAACUUUAAACACAAGUUUUAAGUUUGAAAGAUGCAAUUGCAUCACUCAAAGAUGAUCCCGCGUUGUAUUAGCUAGUUGGUGAGGUAAAGGCUCACCAAGGCGAUGAUACAUAGCCGACCUGAGAGGGUGAUCGGCCACAUUGGGACUGAGACACGGCCCAAACUCCUACGGGAGGCAGCAGUAGGGAAUCUUCGGCAAUGGACGAAAGUCUGACCGAGCAACGCCGCGUGAGUGAAGAAGGUUUUCGGAUCGUAAAACUCUGUUGGUAGAGAAGAACGUUGGUGAGAGUGGAAAGCUCAUCAAGUGACGGUAUCUACCCAGAAAGGGACGGCUAACUACGUG
This 497-nucleotide ribosomal RNA is filed under the name uncultured bacterium. RNAcentral's name for it is "partial 16S ribosomal RNA". It matches the Rfam family "Bacterial small subunit ribosomal RNA", at positions 28 to 507 of the family's 1533-position model. The record is from RNAcentral.